Long non-coding RNA from Brienomyrus brachyistius, 2633 nucleotides. RefSeq lists it as uncharacterized. The record is from RefSeq and is a predicted model, not a curated record. The transcript is spliced from 3 exons. NCBI's taxonomy places the organism in Eukaryota, Metazoa, Chordata, Actinopteri, Osteoglossiformes, Mormyridae.
AUCCAGACCAAGAUUUUGUUUCAGCCAACCAGUUGAGAAUAAAGAGUCACAUUCACUCAACUGGUUGGUUGAAACAAAAUCUUGGUCUGGAUUUGUAAUUUCUGCACCUGAACUUUCCACUUCUGAUCAGUGCCCUCUCAAAAUCCAUAUAACAAGUCACAUCCAUACUGAACUCCCCCUCCCCCCAUAGCCCCCAAUACUCUCCUUACACACAGUGCUCCACCCCCUCGCGUGCAUUUUUAAAUAACAGCAAGGCAGAGGUGCACAACAAUUGGAAAUGCAUAUACCCUGUAUGAAUUUAAUAGAACGUAUGGAUGACGUCCUUGUCGCACUGUCGCUGCUCACGACCCCAUUGUGUGUGUGGCUUAUGCGCAAAUCCUCCGAUUUCUUUCCACUGUACUAAAACAUGCAACGUAAGUGAUUUGGAGUGCCUAAAUUGACCAUUUGUGUGACUGAGUGUGCACCCUGCAAUGGUUCCUUGGUUCCUGCCUUGCACCAGUUGUAAUGUUAAUAUUGUGUUGUAUUUUAUACACACGCAGGCACACAUCGAUAUACAUGAUUACUCGAUGAAUCAUCAGAUUAGUCAUUAGAUCAUUGAUAUAAUCGCUAGUGACGGUCCUUAAGCAUCAGAUGGAACGGUGUAGAGCUUGCCGUCACUGGGCUCUGGAGCAGUGAAAAUGUUCCGUGGAGUGACAAAUCACACUUCUCUGUGCUGAAAGUCUGAUGGACAAAUCUUGGUUUGCUGGAUGCCAGGAGAACGUUACCUGCCUGACUGCACUGUGCCAACUGUAAAGUUUGGUGGAGGAGGGAUAAUGGUAUGGGGUUGUUUUUCAGGGGCUGGGCCCCUUAGUACCACUCUUAAUGCUUCAGCAUACCAAAAUAUUUUGGACAAUUCUAUACUUCCAACCUUGUGGGAACAAUUUGAGGAAGGAGGGCCAUUUUCUGUUCCAGCAUGACUGGUCCAUGUUUGGUAAAGGUAUGUUUGGUGUGGAAGAACUUGACUGGCCCGCACAGAUCCCUGAUCUCAACCCCAUCGAGCACCUUUUGAAAUGAACUGGAAUGGAAUGUGUGAACCAGGCUUUCACAUCCAACAUCAGUGCCUGACCUCACAAAUGCUCUUCUGGAUGAAUGGGCAAAAAUUCCCACAGACCGAAUCCAAAAUCUUGUGGAAAGCCUUCCCAGAAAAGAGGCAGCUGUUAUAGCUCCAAAGGGGAGACCAGCUCCAUAUUGAUGCCUAUGGAUUUAUAAUGGGAUGUAAUAAAAGUUCCUGUGGGUAUAAUGGCCAGGUGUCCCAGUACCUUUGUCCAUAUAGUGUAUUAUACAUGGAAUUUAUAUAUGCUAUAGACAAUUGUAUUUUUUAGCUUUAAUUACCUGCGUAUGCCAUUCGAAAUGAGCACUACUUUCUCGACAAUAAAUGGAAAUUCAUCUUACUUCAAUCAUAAUAAAACGCAAAACACACAAGAAUGACAUAAUGAUCAUAAAUGAAUGGAAGAAUUCUGCAAGCAGAGUAAGUCUAAGGAAUCCACUGGCAAAGUCUCGAACAGCAAAUUAAUUCAUGCAAUACAGUGCAGGCUCCUCAUGCUUGCAGGAGAUCACCCUUCAUGUGCAGGUUUACUGAUAAAUCCUGUACACAGUGUUUUGAGGUUGAGGGGUAAAGCACUGUCCUUUAUUUGUAUUUGAGCUGCCUUUCAACAUCCAGCACACGUCUGCACUGUGUUGCAUGAAUUAUUUUGCUGUUCAGUAAAUCAUUUUGCUGAAAUUACGUUGGUACGAGACUUUACGAGUGGGUUUCUUAGAGUAAGUAAAGAGUAAAAUGGAAACUGUUGGUGAUCUGUCAUUUGUAAACAUACAGAGACUCAAAGGAGCUUCCUGGGCAGGUGAAGAGAUACAAUGGGUCAGAAAUCAAACUAAAAGAACCAAAAGGCUAUGCAGUCAGAAUCACAGAUCUGGAUGGAACCGUCUACUGGGGAAGAGAUGAGAUGCUGGAGAGUUGGAGUGAGCUGUACCUUCCUGAGCCAACGGAGAUGGUUGUCAUUGGUGCCGUUGAUAACUUCCAGUCUUUGGCAGAGGGACUGCAGCUCAUCGUGCUGGUAGACAGCCAGGGCGAAGUCUACUUCUAUGAGAAUGAGGUCCUGCAUCUUAGGGCUGGUUUAUGCUCCACGUUACUGUGCCAUUAGGCAUGAUGUUGCUACGUAAGUAGUGUUGCUGCUCGUACUUGCAUGUGUAGUUUAUGUCAAUUUGGACGAUUAAAAGUUAUGUCCAGCAGAGGGCAGUGUGAGAAAACCAUCUUGGUUGGCUGCUUUGUUUCUGGUCUUACUUGUUUGUAUGAAGUUUGGCAUGAAAUGUUUUGCAUUAGCUCCACAGCAAGUUGCUGAUUCUGUGAUACUGCUGCGGCAUUCUCUUUGUAUUCUACCCACUACUCCGCAUCAUAUUGGUACUUGGCUCUGUCAUAUAUCACUUUACUACCUCGUUCAAUAUUGCAUUAUAUGUUGUUGAUAUCUUGUAGUAGCUAGUAUUUCAUAUGUAGUAUUACAGCAGCAUUUUGAGAGAAAAGUCAGAUUUUCUGUGAUUAAACAGUGCAAUAUUUAUAAAGCAAAAAGGAGUUCAAAAUAAAUUAAUUUCUCACUAACACA